This 478-nucleotide ribosomal RNA is filed under the name uncultured bacterium. RNAcentral's name for it is "partial 16S ribosomal RNA". It matches the Rfam family "Bacterial small subunit ribosomal RNA", at positions 28 to 507 of the family's 1533-position model. The record is from RNAcentral.
GAUGAACGCUGGCGGCGUGCUUAACACAUGCAAGUCGAACGGGAAACCUUUUAUUGAAGCUUCGGCAGAUUUCGCUGGUUUCUAGUGGCGGACGGAUGAUUAACGCGUGUGUAACCUGCCCUAUACAGGGGGAUAACAACCAGAAAUGGUUGCUAAUACCGCAUAAGCGCACAGGGCCGCAUGGUCCGGUUUGAAAAACUCCGGUGGUAUAGGAUGGACCCGCGUUGGAUUAGCCAGUUGGCAGGGUAACCGCCUACCAAAGCGACGAUCCAUAGCCGGACUGAGAGGGUGAACGGCCACAUUGGGACUGAGACACGGCCCAGACUCCUACGGGAUGCAGCAGUGGGGAAUAUUGCACAAUGGGGGAAACCCUGAUGCAGCGACGACGCGUGAAGGAAGAAGUAUCUCGGUAUGUAAACUUCUAUAAGCAGGGAAGAUAGUGACGGUACCUGACGAAGAAGCCCCGGCUAACUACGUG